Ruditapes philippinarum (Manila clam) is the source of this 287-nucleotide long non-coding RNA. RefSeq lists it as uncharacterized. The record is from RefSeq and is a predicted model, not a curated record. The transcript is spliced from 3 exons. NCBI's taxonomy places the organism in Eukaryota, Metazoa, Mollusca, Bivalvia, Venerida, Veneridae.
AGUUAUAGUGGUAAUGAAUCUUCUGGAGACAUUGGGUCCUUUGUCCGCAGGAAGCAAUAUGUUGGAUUAACAGAGAACUUUGAAAUAGAGAUAUUAAGUUUGGAUAAACGUGGAUCUAUAGCAAUCGGAGUAGUACCAAAAAAUAAUCCAGAAAGAGGUCUACCGGGAUAUGUUACGAACUCUAUAGGAUAUCAUUCCGAUGGCAAAUUAUACGAAAAAGGAAAAUUUAUCAGAUCAAUACGAGCAUGGCAAGCAGGCGAUCGUGUAAGAUGUCGCAGAUUUGUUGA